This is a long non-coding RNA of Entelurus aequoreus (snake pipefish), 252 nucleotides long. RefSeq lists it as uncharacterized. The transcript is spliced from 3 exons. The record is from RefSeq and is a predicted model, not a curated record. Lineage: Eukaryota; Metazoa; Chordata; Actinopteri; Syngnathiformes; Syngnathidae.
AACCAAAGCAGCAGACAUGUGGCGACUUGUCCAGGGUGUACCCCGCAUUCCGCCUUUAUGCAGCUGGGAUAGGCUCCAGAGACCCCCGCGACCCCAAGAGGGACAAGCAGUAGAAAAUGGAUGGAUGGAUCUGCUUGAUUUCUAAAGAAAAAUAGAGGUGUGUCCAGACAUUGAACUUCUGAUCACUGCAACAGAGACAUGCGUUCAACAGUUGCGCUCCCACACAUCCAAAGUGUAAGAAGGAAAUCUCAG